This is a non-coding RNA of Arvicanthis niloticus (Nile rat), 480 nucleotides long. The record is from RefSeq and is a predicted model, not a curated record. NCBI's taxonomy places the organism in Eukaryota, Metazoa, Chordata, Mammalia, Rodentia, Muridae.
CCUAGGGAAGCCACAGCUCCGCAGUAAUGACUCCGAUUCAUUUACUUUGUUCUGACAUGUCUUCUGAAGUGAUCUUCUUAAGACUAGUUGACUUGUAUAUUACAUUUUAUAUCCCUGUAUGUCCAUGGUUAUGUAAAACUCUGGUGAAGAAAGGCCGUGAAUGCAAACCAUUUAAGUAUCUCUGCUCUAAAUAUUAGUCUUCCUUGGAGCCUCUUCUAGUUCUUCUUUCUUCUCUACACACCUUCUUUGGGCACCCUGUAUGUUCCUGACUCUGUGAUGAUUUGAUGGAAUGCAGUGAAGGUUGACAUCUGGAAAUAACAGUCACAUCUUCAAUGGAUCUACUUUCUAAUCUUUGAAAAUACUUUAGAGCCUCCAAUUAAAGUGCAAACUUCCCAGCUAAGUGAGGGUGAAGAUCUUGUCAUUUCUAACACUUGUAUAAGAAGAGAGGUGAUUCAAAGCCAACACUCAGGAGGGGAAAGG